RNAcentral lists this long non-coding RNA (2870 nucleotides) under Lupinus angustifolius (narrow-leaved blue lupine). RNAcentral's name for it is "long non-coding RNA (LANG_LNC001882)". The record is from RNAcentral. Lineage: Eukaryota; Viridiplantae; Streptophyta; Magnoliopsida; Fabales; Fabaceae.
AAAAAGGAAAUUAAGCCAUCAAAAGAAUGAGGUUGAAGGCUAGCAAACGUGAAAGGGGUUGGAAAAGGGGAAAAUCCCCAAAUCACUUGAGAAGAAUGGGGAAAUCCCUAAGUCAAGCCUCUUCUCCCAUUCUCUUAUGCCAUCUUCAAUCUCACCGAUACAGGGUGACGUCGUGGUUGCGAAUCUCGCCGGGAGAGGGAGCCAUUGAUGGUUGGAGAACAAGGUAUGAUCAUCUCCUCCGUCUUCUCUUCUCCAUUCUUCUUCGACGGCGGCGACGGUAACCAAGGACUGUCCAUGGCGGUUUUUUCGCUUUUUUGGCGGCAGUGACAAUGAAUCCACGGCUGGAACUGAGCUGGCCGUGCCGACACGGCAAUGGUGAAACCCCAAGGUCAUCUUCUUCUUGGCUUCGGGUAGCUCGCGAUUAAGAGCGAAGCGCCGCUGGUUCGUGACGGUUCUCGACCAAAAAGCAUAUCGGUUAUGGUUCUAAGAACCAAGGUGAAUUGAUCGAUGAAGAUUAAAUUAGGGACCUUGGUGGUUGUGGCUCUGAAUCAGCAACGUCAAGGGAAAUUGGUAAGCUACCAUAUCCCUUUAGUAUAAGAUGUUUCUGUUUACUGUUCAUGUUGUACACUUGUGGCUGAUGCUGAAGGUUGAUGUCGUUAUUGUAGAUGUUGUUUUGUUGUUGUUAUGGCUGAUUCGGAUUGUUAAAGGUUUGAUUUCAAGGUGCUGCGGGAUCAAAGUUUGGUUUUUCUAAUAAUGGGUUCGGUAAUUUUAUUUUGAGAAAGCUUGUCGAAUUCUCUGAAAUAAUAGUGAUUAUUAGUGGUAUUUGUGGUGUUCCUUGAAGAUGAGGGAAGCCUAUCCCUUUUUGGUGUCGGGAUGAAGGUUCAAUUUGGCGAUUUAUACUCCCUUUUCUAUCAAGGGAAAGAUUCAGAUCCGAGACCCAGGGGAAUCCGGGUUUUAUGGGUCAACAUGAACCAUGUAAGUGUGAAGAAUGUGGAAUGUGGGAUGUGAACAGGAUAAACCCCUGCCUUGUAUCUUUUGCGACCUGUUACUGACUAUGAAAUUUGUUCUGUUGCAUUAGUUGUGUGCGGUUUUGUGUUUACCUUGAUCAAAAAGUCGAUGUUCUCUACUAUUUGGUUGUGUAUUUGUUAUGUUUUACCCAUUAGUGAUAGGUUGGUAGAAAUAAAGUCAAGGUUUCUCUUAUUAGAAUUAUCAUAACCCUUUCAAGUAUGUUCUUUUUUGUGUGUUUGCAUAUGGUGUGUUGGUCACUUUUCAAUUAAAGUUCUAGAUUUAUAAACACAUAAUGAUAGGAACACAAAAUAAAAAUGAAAUGAUUCUAAUAUGGUUGACUAAAGGAGGACGAACAUGUGUGUGUAUAUAUGACAUGCAUGUUGGAAUGCCCUCUUGUUGUGUAUGCGUGAUUGUAGGUGUAUGUAUGUGUGAUCUAUGAUGGCUUGUGUUGCAGGUGUAUAAUCUGUGACUGUUCUGUGAUUUCUUGUUAUGUGUCUUUUUCACUGAGUGCCCUCCUCUUUCUGGUAUGCGUGCUGUCCCUUAUAUAGGUGAUUGUGGUGGUCUGAUGGUUUGCCCAAAAUGUGUAACAUGCCCUGAUUCUUCUGGUCAUCAUUGCUGAUUGUAACUGAAACAUUAAUUUAUGGUUUGCAUUUGUGACUAUAACUGAAAUGACAAUGAUUUCAAAUUACUUUUGCUUAGCAUUGUCCUUUGGGAUUUUAUUGACUGAUAAUUCAUGGCUGGUUCCUUAGGAGUGUGUAACAGCCAUAAUUCUUUGUUAACACUCCCUCCACUGUUUCUUUUUGUGUAUCUCAAUCUGUUUUACUUUUUCUUUUGGGUUAUUUUUCAUUGAUGCUCCUGUAACUGCUCAAUUACUUUCCCGAAUGGUUCAUUUCUCUCCUGAAAUUCAUCCUCUGAUUGGUAUGAUUUGUAGUAUUUUUGCUGCUUAUGAAUGAUGUCAUUUAUGCUGAUGUUGUGUAACUGAAGAUGUCAUUUAAGACUGAUUUCUUUCUGCAUAUCUUCCUUGCCAUCUUUUAAGAUGUUGUUCUAAGAUCUCGCAGCUGACUUUCAGCAAUAAUUAAUUGUUGGUAGCUUCCAUUCGAAAUUCCUUCAGUUGUAGCUCAUGGCUGGUUUCUCUUUAUAUAAUACCAUUUAUGCUGAAAAUGUGUAACUGAUUGAGGAUAUUUUUGGUUUUGUCUUCUCUUUUGAAAUUGAUCACGUGUCUAACUGAUUAUUUGGGUUAUUCCAAUCAAUUCUUGAAAAUAUCGAUUACCACUAUUAAUUCACAGCGGGUGUCAUUACAUCCCUUCAGUCACUAACCAGUGAAACUCCAUGCAGGUAAUUGUAACCUUGUGGCCCCCUUAUAUCCAGGAUCGUGAAUGAGCCCCUAUUUUCAACCACCUUGACCAUGUUGAACAUUCUUCUAUUUGCAUAUUAGAAGCUGUUGAAGUUGCUUUGAUGACCCUCCAAUAUACCAGAGGCAGCAACACUAUUGCAACUGGAUUAUAUUAGCAAGCUCGGAAUAUCAUGAAGCCUCCCCUUUGACUUUAACUGGUCAUCAGUUUGAAAUUUGGCUAUGUGUAUAGUUUAGCAGAACACAUCAUGCAACUUUAGUUUAUAGGUAAGGCUCAUAGGUUUGUACAAUAUCAACUAAAGGAAGAGUCCAAUAAAUAACAAAUUAUGCUGAAAUAUGCAAUAUGUUACUAACAUUUCAUAUUUUCAUCAGCCACAUCAGUCGCACAAAUUUAAAGUAUAAUGUGAGAUUAAUAGGUCCUGUUUUGGUUGAGAAAAUGUUUUUAUUUUCAUUUUAUACUAUUAUUGAUGGAAUGACAUUUGUACAAUAGACACUUAUGAUAUGUGCAUGA